This 69-nucleotide transfer RNA is filed under the name Methylobacterium brachiatum. RNAcentral describes it as "tRNA-OTHER". It matches the Rfam family "tRNA". Rfam says of the family: Transfer RNA (tRNA) molecules are approximately 80 nucleotides in length. Their secondary structure includes four short double-helical elements and three loops (D, anti-codon, and T loops). Further hydrogen bonds mediate the characteristic L-shaped molecular structure. tRNAs have two regions of fundamental functional importance: the anti-codon, which is responsible for specific mRNA codon recognition, and the 3' end, to which the tRNAs corresponding amino acid is attached (by aminoacyl-tRNA synthetases). tRNAs cope with the degeneracy of the genetic code in two manners: having more than one tRNA (with a specific anti-codon) for a particular amino acid; and 'wobble' base-pairing, i.e. permitting non-standard base-pairing at the 3rd anti-codon position. Lineage: Bacteria; Pseudomonadati; Pseudomonadota; Alphaproteobacteria; Hyphomicrobiales; Methylobacteriaceae. The record is from RNAcentral.
UCCAUCGUACCUCAGGGGUUAGAGGGCCCGCCUUGCGGGUGGUCGAUGGUUCGAGUCCUUCCUUUGGAC